Molecule: ribosomal RNA, 459 nt
Filed under: uncultured bacterium
Lineage: Bacteria
Description: partial 16S ribosomal RNA
Rfam family: Bacterial small subunit ribosomal RNA
Source: RNAcentral
CCUACGGGAGGCAGCAGUGAGGAAUAUUGGUCAAUGGGCGGGAGCCUGAACCAGCCAAGCCGCGUGAGGGAAGAAGGUACAGCGUAUCGUAAACCUCUUUUGUCAGGGAACAAAGGCGGGGACUAGUCCCCGGAUGAGGGUACCUGAAGAAAAAGCAUCGGCUAACUCCGUGCCAGCAGCCGCGGUAAUACGGAGGAUGCGAGCGUUAUCCGGAUUUAUUGGGUUGAAAGGGUGCGCAGGGGGCCUGUUAAGUCAGGGGUAAAAGCCCGGGGCUAAACCCCGGCGAGCCUUUGAAACUGGGGGGCUGGAGUGGGAGAGAGGAAGGCGGAAGGCGGGGUGUAGCGGUGAAAUGCUUAGAGAUCGCGCAGAACCCCGAUUGCGAAGGCAGCGUACCGGCUCCACACUGACGCUGAGGCACGAAAGCGUGGGUAUCGAACAGGAUUAGAUACCCUAGUAGUC